This 465-nucleotide ribosomal RNA is filed under the name uncultured Klebsiella sp. RNAcentral's name for it is "bacterial SSU rRNA". It matches the Rfam family "Bacterial small subunit ribosomal RNA", at positions 338 to 795 of the family's 1533-position model. Lineage: Bacteria; Pseudomonadati; Pseudomonadota; Gammaproteobacteria; Enterobacterales; Enterobacteriaceae. The record is from RNAcentral.
CCUACGGGCGGCAGCAGUGGGGAAUAUUGCACAAUGGGCGCAAGCCUGAUGCAGCCAUGCCGCGUGUGUGAAGAAGGCCUUCGGGUUGUAAAGCACUUUCAGCGGGGAGGAAGGCGGUGAGGUUAAUAACCUCAUCGAUUGACGUUACCCGCAGAAGAAGCACCGGCUAACUCCGUGCCAGCAGCCGCGGUAAUACGGAGGGUGCAAGCGUUAAUCGGAAUUACUGGGCGUAAAGCGCACGCAGGCGGUCUGUCAAGUCGGAUGUGAAAUCCACGGGCUCAACCUGGGAACUGCAUUCGAAACUGGCAGGCUAGAGUCUUGUAGAGGGGGGUAGAAUUCCAGGUGUAGCGGUGAAAUGCGUAGAGAUCUGGAGGAAUACCGGUGGCGAAGGCGGCCCCCUGGACAAAGACUGACGCUCAGGUGCGAAAGCGUGGGGAGCAAACAGGAUUAGAUACCCCGGUAGUC